GAAGGGACCUAGCGUAGUUCGGAAUUACUGGGCUUAAAGAGUUCGUAGGUGGUUAAAAAAGUUGGUGGUGAAAUCCCAGAGCUUAACUCUGGAACUGCCAUCAAAACUUUUUAGCUAGAGUAUGAUAGAGGAAAGCAGAAUUUCUAGUGUAGAGGUGAAAUUCGUAGAUAUUAGAAAGAAUACCAAUUGCGAAGGCAGCUUUCUGGAUCAUUACUGACACUGAGGAACGAAAGCAUGGGUAGCGAAGAGGAUUAGAUACCCUCGUAGUCCAUGCCGUAAACGAUGUGUGUUAGACGUUGGAAAUUUAUUUUCAGUGUCGCAGCGAAAGCAAUAAACACACCGCCUGGGGAGUACGACCGCAAGGUUAAAACUCAAAUGAAUUGACGGGGACCCGCACAAGUAGUGGAGCAUGUGGUUUAAUUCGAAGAUACGCGCAGAACCUUACCAACACUUGACAUGUUCGUCGCGACUUUAAGAGAUUAAAGUUUUCGGUUCGGCCGGACGAAACACAGGUGCUGCAUGGCUGUCGUCAGCUCGUGUCGUGAGAUGUUGGGUUAAGUCCCGCAACGAGCGCAACCCUCACUUUUAGUCGCCAUCAUUUAGUUGGGCACUCUGAAAGAACUGCCAGUGAUAAGCUGGAGGAAGGUGGGGAUGACGUCAAGUCCUCAUGGCCCUUAUGUGUUGGGCUACACACGUGCUACAAUGGUAUCUACAACAGGAAGCAAGAUGGCAACAUUUAGCAAAUCCUAAAAAGAUAUCUCAGUUCGGAUUGCACUCUGCAACUCGAGUGCAUGAAGCUGGAAUUACUAGUAAUCGUGGAUCAGCGUGCCACGGUGAAUACGUUCCCGGGUCUU
This 854-nucleotide ribosomal RNA is filed under the name uncultured organism. Its description in RNAcentral is "bacterial SSU rRNA". It matches the Rfam family "Bacterial small subunit ribosomal RNA", at positions 527 to 1382 of the family's 1533-position model. The record is from RNAcentral.